GGAAUAUUGGACAAUGGGCGCAAGCCUGAUCCAGCCAUGCCGCGUGAGUGAUGAAGGCCCUAGGGUUGUAAAGCUCUUUCGACGGGGACGAUAAUGACGGUACCCGUAGAAGAAGCCCCGGCUAACUUCGUGCCAGCAGCCGCGGUAAUACGAAGGGGGCUAGCGUUGUUCGGAAUCACUGGGCGUAAAGCGCACGUAGGCGGAUCGUUAAGUCGAGGGUGAAAUCCCAGGGCUCAACCCUGGAACUGCCUUCGAUACUGGCGAUCUUCGAGUCCGGGAGAGGUGAGUGGAACUCCGAGUGUAGAGGUGAAAUUCGUAGAUAUUCGGAAGAACACCAGUGGCGAAGGCGGCUCACUGGCCCGGUACUGACGCUGAGGUGCGAAAGCGUGGGGAGCAAAC
Molecule: ribosomal RNA, 399 nt
Filed under: uncultured bacterium
Lineage: Bacteria
Description: bacterial SSU rRNA
Rfam family: Bacterial small subunit ribosomal RNA
Source: RNAcentral